CCUACGGGAGGCAGCAGUGAGGAAUAUUGGUCAAUGGACGCAAGUCUGAACCAGCCAUGCCGCGUGCAGGAAGACGGCUCUAUGAGUUGUAAACUGCUUUUGUACGAGGGUAAACGCAGAUACGCGUAUCUGUCUGAAAGUAUCGUACGAAUAAAGAUCGGCGAACUCCGUGCCAGCAGCCGCGGUAAUACGGAGGAUUCAAGCGUUAUCCGGAUUUAGUGGGUUUAAAGGGUGCGUAGGCGGUCGGAUAAGUUAGAGGUGAAAUCCCGAAGCUCAACUUCGGAAUUGCCUUUGAUACUGUUCGGCUAGAGAGUAGUUGCGGUAGGCGGAAUGUAUGGUGUAGCGGUGAAAUGCUUAGAGAUCAUACAGAACACCGAUUGCGAAGGCAGCUUACCAAGCUACUUCUGACGUUGAGGCACGAAAGCGUGGGGAGCAAACAGGAUUAGAUACCCUAGUAGUC
RNAcentral lists this ribosomal RNA (460 nucleotides) under uncultured bacterium. RNAcentral's name for it is "partial 16S ribosomal RNA". It matches the Rfam family "Bacterial small subunit ribosomal RNA", at positions 338 to 795 of the family's 1533-position model. The record is from RNAcentral.